Molecule: ribosomal RNA, 425 nt
Filed under: uncultured bacterium
Lineage: Bacteria
Description: partial 16S ribosomal RNA
Rfam family: Bacterial small subunit ribosomal RNA
Source: RNAcentral
GUGAGGAAUUUUGCGCAAUGGGGGCAACCCUGACGCAGCGACGCCGCGUGGAGGACGAAGUCUUUCGGGAUGUAAACUCCUGUCAGUGGGGACGAUAAUGACGGUACCCACAGAGGAAGCACCGGCUAACUCCGUGCCAGCAGCCGCGGUAAGACGGAGGGUGCAAGCGUUGUUCGGAAUUACUGGGCGUAAAGCGUACGUAGGCGGCAAGUUAAGUUCAAUGUUAAAGCCCACGGCUCAACCGAGGAGAUGCAUUGAAUACUGGCUAGCUAGAGGUUGUUAGAGGAAGACGGAAUUCCCAGUGUAGCGGUGGACUGCGUAGAUAUUGGGAGGAACAUCGGUAGCGAAAGCGGUCUUCUGGGACACACCUGACGCUGAGGUACGAAAGCGUGGGGAGCAAACGGGAUUAGAAACCCCGGUAGUCC